GUACUGUGCAAACGUUAUUCGGGAAUCACUGGGCUUAAAGGGUGCGUAGGCGGCUUAGCAAGUAGGAUGUGAAAUCUUCCGGGCUCAACCGGGAAAACUGCGUUCUAAACUGCUUGACUUGAGUGAGAUAGGGGUGUGCGGAACUUCCAGUGGAGCGGUGAAAUGUGUUGAUAUUGGAAGGAACGCCGUUAGCGAAAGCAGCACACUGGGUCUCAACUGACGCUGAGGCACGAAAGCCAGGGUAGCGAACGGGAUUAGAUACCCCGGUAGUCCUGGCUGUAAACGUUGAGCACUAGUCGGGAGGGACUUCGGUCCAUCCGGACGCAGAGAAAUCGAUAAGUGCUCCGCCUGGGGAGUAUGGUCGCAAAGGCUGA
Molecule: ribosomal RNA, 374 nt
Filed under: uncultured organism
Description: partial 16S ribosomal RNA
Rfam family: Bacterial small subunit ribosomal RNA
Source: RNAcentral